Molecule: non-coding RNA, 72 nt
Organism: Potamilus streckersoni
Lineage: Eukaryota; Metazoa; Mollusca; Bivalvia; Unionida; Unionidae
Source: the annotation of a GenBank genome assembly
GCUCCAGUGGCCUAGUGGUUAGAGUGUCCACCUCAGAUGUUGGAGGUCGUGGGUUCGAUCCCUGUUGAGUCA